This 334-nucleotide unclassified non-coding RNA is filed under the name soil metagenome. RNAcentral describes it as "partial contains 5.8S ribosomal RNA, internal transcribed spacer 2, and large subunit ribosomal RNA". The stretch from base 1 to 120 matches the Rfam family "5.8S ribosomal RNA", at positions 35 to 154 of the family's 154-position model. The record is from RNAcentral.
GAUGAAGAAUGUAGCGAAAUGCGAUAAGUGAUGUGAAUUGCAGAAUUCAGUGAAUCAUCGAAUCUUUGAACGCACAUUGCGCCCGCCAGUAUUCUGGCGGGCAUGCCUGUUCGAGCGUCAUUUCAACCAUCAAGCCCUGCUUGCGUUGGGGUCCUGCGGCUGCCCGCAGGCCCUGAAAACCAGUGGCGGGCUCGCUAGUCACACCGAGCGCAGUAAUACAUCUCGCUUUGGGCGUGCGGCGGGUUCUUGCCGUUAAACACCCCCUUUUUACCAAGGUUGACCUCGGAUCAGGUAGGAAUACCCGCUGAACUUAAGCAUAUCAAUAAGCGGAGGA